UACAAAGUGGUUUCGAUUCGUCAAGAUGCUCAUCUCCAUGUAAGGGUCGAAGUGAAUAAGCUUAUCUUCUUUUAGUUUCAUCAAUAUCCAAACAAAUGGAAGGUAUUGCUAAGGGGAUGUACCCCGCCAUUCAAGCGGACAUCCUAUCAGAUCUCUCUCCCAUUCAGAGAAAUGGAUGGUACUUGUGUGACAUUCUAACCCAAUGUUCUCACCAACAAGGUUUAUAGCUUACACCGAUGAGAAUUUUUG
This 249-nucleotide unclassified non-coding RNA is filed under the name Hevea brasiliensis (rubber tree). Lineage: Eukaryota; Viridiplantae; Streptophyta; Magnoliopsida; Malpighiales; Euphorbiaceae. The record is from RNAcentral.